UGGGGGAACCCUGAUCAGCCAUGCCGCGUGAAUGAUGAAGGCCUUAGGGUUGUAAAAUUCUUUCAGUGGGGAAGAUAAUGACGGUACCCACAGAAGAAGCCCCGGCUAACUCCGUGCCAGCAGCCGCGGUAAUACGGAGGGGGCUAGCGU
This 150-nucleotide ribosomal RNA is filed under the name uncultured Maricaulis sp. RNAcentral describes it as "partial 16S ribosomal RNA". It matches the Rfam family "Bacterial small subunit ribosomal RNA", at positions 372 to 541 of the family's 1533-position model. The record is from RNAcentral. Lineage: Bacteria; Pseudomonadati; Pseudomonadota; Alphaproteobacteria; Maricaulales; Maricaulaceae.